CCUACGGGUGGCUGCAGUGAGGAAUAUUGCACAAUGGGGGAGACCCUGAUCCAGCGACGCCGCGUGAAUGAAGAAGUAUUUCGGUAUGUAAAGCUCUAUCAGCAGGGGAGAAAAUGACGGUACCUGAUUAAGAAGCCCCGGCUAACUAAGUUCCAGCAGCCGCGGUACUACGUAGGGAGCAAGCGUUAUCCGGAUUUACUGGGUGUAAAGGGAGCGUAGACGGCAGAACAAGUCUGGAGUGAAAUGCCGGGGCUUAACCCCGGAACUGCUUUUGAUACUGUGCAGCUAGAGUGCAGGAGAGGUAAGCGGAAUUCGUAGUGUAGCGGUGAAAUGCGUAGAUAUUAGGAGGAACCCCGAUUGCGAAGGCAGCCUACUAAACUGCCACUGACAUUGAUGCUCGAAAGUGUGGGUAUCAAACAGGAUUAGAUACCCCUGUAGUC
Molecule: ribosomal RNA, 440 nt
Filed under: uncultured bacterium
Lineage: Bacteria
Description: partial 16S ribosomal RNA
Rfam family: Bacterial small subunit ribosomal RNA
Source: RNAcentral